GAUGCUUCUCAGCCUUUUGGCUAAGAUCAAGUGUAGUAUCUGUUCUUAUCAGCUUAAUAUCUGAUAUGCCCUCUAUCUGAGGACAAUAUGUUAAAUGGAUAUUUUCUUUUGAGCUGGGAGUUGGGAUGGGAGCUUGCUCUGCCCGUUCCACCCAUUGAUCUGGUAUUGUAGUACCUCCAGGAAUGGUGCAGGGAAG
Molecule: small nuclear RNA, 196 nt
Organism: Onychomys torridus (southern grasshopper mouse)
Lineage: Eukaryota; Metazoa; Chordata; Mammalia; Rodentia; Cricetidae
Product: U2 spliceosomal RNA
Exons: 1
Source: RefSeq, a predicted model, not a curated record